Molecule: long non-coding RNA, 227 nt
Filed under: Lathyrus oleraceus (garden pea)
Lineage: Eukaryota; Viridiplantae; Streptophyta; Magnoliopsida; Fabales; Fabaceae
Description: Pisum sativum (pea) long non-coding RNA (PSAT_LNC007032)
Source: RNAcentral
GAAUAGAAAAAUAAACACCAACUUCUGGCUCGAGGGGGUUGACUACGGAUUAUCUCCUUAUUUCUCCAGUGUUUGGGAAGUGAAACAAUGCCUUACAUCGCCAACCAGGUCUUACUAUUAAAAGCAUAGUCAGCAAAUUUAGUUAUUUUAUUUCAUUCUCCUCAUAAGUUUGUUAAUAGGUGAGAAGUGAAAAUAAAAGGUUUGAUUGAUUUUUAUUUUUAUUUUCA